AACAUUGAACUGUCCCUGUUUGGUUUUGUGGUGAAUUAACAAAGCACACUUAUAAAUCUGAUUAAAUGUGGUUAGCCUUUUAGUCAUUCUUUUUAAAAAGUUCUCUUCCAGCCUUCCUCUCUGCUCUUUCCUGCCCGUGUGGGAGGUUAGAGGUGACCUCACUGAGUCCCCCACGUCAUUUGUGAGGUAGGAUGUUUACCUGACUAACAGUCGAGCCCUAGGCGUCCUCCUGUCCCUGCUUCCCAAGUGCUGGGAUUCUCGGUGUGUGCUACUUUACUCAGCUCUUUGUAAAGAUUCUGGAAGAAGCAACUCAGGUCUCUCGGGCACUGCACUAACGGAGCCCCUCCCCAGCUCUCCGUCUUCCUUUUAACCUCAGUGACAGACAGGGUGUCUUAUGUUAAUGUGACCAGAAGAGGAAUGAUUUUGAAAUUUGUUGGCUGGCUUUUUAAAUAAUAAUAUUAGGAAAAUAUUUGUUUCUGAGUGAAGAUAAUGGGAUAAUUAACUAAACUGGUAGUUUUGGAGGCAGUUGUUUUGGAAAGUAUCUUUGUCUAUUUAUUUAACGUGCUGUAGUAAAUUUAGUACAAUAGGAAGUAGAAAUUCAUCCAUCACACUCCUGGUGGCUGAGAAGGGUGAAGAGUAAGACACAGCAGGUUUGGUGUCAAAGGGCUUGUGCCUCCUAAAUGUCCCUUCUUGUCCUUUCUUCACACAGGCCUCAUUUGUAUUUUCCAUGGUUCUGGAGAUUAAGCCCCGGACUGGCCUUUACAUACGCUAGGGGAGCCUUAUCCCACUGAGCACAUCUUUAGCUCUCUUUUAUUUAUGUCUUUUUGAGGUAAUGUUGCUUAGGCUGGCUUCUUGAACUUGCUGUGUAGCCCAAGCUGGCCUUUAAUUCACAGUUCCUCUUCGUUCUGCACCUCCAUGUGCUAAAAUUCGAGGCAUGGGCCAUCAUGUUCAUUUCACUUGGGCCUCUUAGGACAUAAUCAUUCUUUGAGGGCUCUAUAACCUGAUUUCCAUUCUUGUAAAACCUUCAAUGAGGGCUAAGUUUCAACAUAUGAAUAGGGUGUCUUUGUUAUAUGUAGGUAGAGUAUGUUUGCUCUAUUCCAGUAGCACCAUAUGUCUGAAGUCUAGAGUCGUUUCAUUCUCAUCUAAGUGAGCAUAGGCGAGAGUCAAGAUGCUGUUCAUCUUGAGGCAAGUUGCCCAGCUGUGAAUUUGUGAAAUUAAGUUAUCUGCUCCUAAGAUGCAAGUUUGGGGCAGGCAGAAGAUAAGCAUUCCUAUUCCUAAAAGGUGAGAAAGAGGAAAGAAGAAAGGGAUUGUAGGUGUUGCAUAAGGAAAUCCAAAGCCCAGCAGUGUAAAAUAGUGUAUCUUAAGGCUCAUGAAUAACGAGUUUUACUCCACAUCUUGCCUUUCACACCCCCUGGUGUAGAAUUUGAGCUUUUAAAACUUUGGCAGUCUUGGUGUUAAUAGCUCUGCUGGGUGGGUGCAGCCUGUGUGGCAUGGGUUGGAAUGCUGGUCUGUGGCUCUUCCAGGCUAGAGUCAAAAGUUUGGCCACCCAAACCCUUCUUUUGACAGGAUCUUUUCCAAGCUAUGGGUUUCUGAGCCUGACAGGAGGAGGAGUACCCAUAACUUCCUGAAUGCCUUUGUGGCUAUUUCUGUUACCUUGAUGGCUUCAUCUCUGGCCCCUACGAAUCUGUUAAAAAAAUCGUCAUAGAUCUGUGGGAGUUGCUUUCCCAGACAUACAUUCUCAUUCUUUACAUCAUGGCCAGGAAGAAGCUCCCAAAUAACAUGUUUGCUUUCCUUUUGAUUGUAAAUUUCAUCUUUAAGUCACUUUUCUAUUUGGAUUUACUCGGAUGCUGUCAAGAGAAGCCAUGCUGUGGUUCCUGCUUUUGUUUACAUAGUUCAUCAGCCAGACAUCUAAUUUUACCACUCAUGAAUCCUAUUUCCUGUAAAACGUCAGGAUAGGACUCAGUUCAUAAUGGCUCUUUACCACUUUUUAUUUUUAUUUUCAUUGCUGUAUGUGGAACCCGGAUCCUCGAGCAUGCUGGACUGUUUUCUGCUAUUGCACAGUAGUCCUUGCUUCUCUGUAACAGGCUCUGUGUUCUUCCCGUUGGCAGUGACAUGUUCCUCAUUUCUGCGACCUCAUCGGAAUGACCUUUACUGUUCAUAUUUCUAUCAACAUUUCAUUCAAAAGCAUCUGUGUAAUCUCUGAGAAGACAGAGGCAGUCUGUGUAGUGAGCUUCUGUGCGGUCGCUUUAGAAUCAUCCAGAAGGCUCUGUUCAUAGCGACAAGGCUUUUUUUACACACAUGUCUAGAUUCUUCCAUCUUGUACCUAUUACCCAGUUCCAAAGUUGCUUCUGCAGUUAGAUUUAUGUUAUAACAACAACUCUACUCUUUGGUCCUAGCUUCUGUCUUUGUUUGGGCUACUAUAACAACAUAUGCAGAUGUGAAGGCUGGUCUGUAUAGGUGGUGCUUUCUUGGGCUACUAUAACAACAUAUGCAGAUGUGAAGGCUGGUCUGUAUAGGUGGUGCUUUCUUGGUACCUUACCCUGAUAGACCAGUUGUCUACAUUGUUUUUGUUAUUUUGGGGAAUAUUUUUUGAGAUUGGCUUUCCAUAUUUUACUCAGAGUGACUUCAAACUCAAGCUUAUCCUUUUCCCACACCCUGGAGAGCUAGGAUUAUAGGCUCAGCACCACAGUGCUUUUCUACUUCUAUAUAUUUUCAUUUAUUCUCCCUGCCUUUUCUUUGUCCAUACAUACAUAUAAUUGGGGGGACAUGAAGAGAAACAUUUGAUGCUUAGUUGCAGUCAUAGUGCCCUGUCCCAGGAUGCCUCAGGGUACCUUUAAGAGUAAGAGCUAACAUCUUUAAGUGGUAAUAUAAAUUUUAACUCUAGGACACUUAACAUCAAAAUAGUACUAAACUAUACUCCAUGCCUAUAUUUAAAGUUUGCUAGUAGUAGUUGCUCAAAUAAUUCAUGUAUAUUUUUUUGUUUGCUUGUAAUUUUUAUGAUUGCUCAACUGUAUCUACAUCUACUUGCAUGCCAGAAGAGGGCAUCAGAUACCCAUUACAGAUGGUUGUGAGCCACCAUAUGGUUGCUGGGAAUUGAACUUAGGACCUCUGACAGAGCAGCCAGUGCUCUUAAUUGCUGAGCCAUCUCUUCAGCCCCCAAUUCAUGUAUUAAUAAUUUUCAAAGUGGUGCUUUCCUUAUCUUCUUUGGACUUAAGUGUAGGGAGUUUUCAAUACUUUAAUCUUCGUAAAUUGUAUAUUGUGUUUUGUAUGCUGAGGCAUGUAUAUCUCAUGUCUAACUCAUUUGAGUUGCUUGGUUUUCAGUACAUAUUUACAAGUCUUUUCUAGAAAUAUAUUUUAAAAAUGUUUUUGGAAAAUAUUGUAAAAUUUAAGCUCAUACAGAUAUAUUAUAGAAUGAUAUGGAAAAAUUUCAUCCUAUGGAAGUAUACCAUAGGAUUUAAAGAUUAUUUUACCUCUCAAAUAUAGAGAUAACUGGUCCAAAUUUGUUCCCAUAUACAUAAUAAAGUGGCAUGCCUCUUUAUUGGGUUGAUGUUUUGGGGAAAAUCACCACAGCUCUAUAAUAAGAAAACUACCCAUAACUAGUGACGGUUAUAAUAAUGAAAAUGUCAGGAGUUCAUGCCUGUCAUCCCAGCACUUGGAGGAUAGAGACAGGUAGCUCUCCCGGUCAACCGAGUAGUCUAAGGCCAGCCUGGGUUACGUGAGCUCGU
RNAcentral lists this long non-coding RNA (3725 nucleotides) under Mus musculus (house mouse). RNAcentral describes it as "long non-coding RNA chr11:79366343-79370068". Lineage: Eukaryota; Metazoa; Chordata; Mammalia; Rodentia; Muridae. The record is from RNAcentral.